UCAUUUGUUAUAUGAAUAUUCAUGUUCAAUAAUUAUUAUGGUUAUAUGAAUAUUUAUGUUCAGUCUCAUCAUUUAGUUUUAUGUAAAGAUUUUUAAGACGAGAAUUUGUUCUGUGUCAUUGCUUUAUUCAUAUUGUAUGUUCUCUAGAUAUGUGUUUAUAUAUACUAUUUAAGGGGAUACCCCAGAUCUGCUUUUGUGCUAUUUUUAAUUAAACGGGUAAAUGUAAAUUUUUUAAUUUAAUUUUCAUCAGAUCUGAUGCAGUAGAAGGGUGGUUGUCAUGUUGUGAAUUGCAGACUCUGAUUAGGGUUAAUAUCAAGAUGAUAUGAAUGAAACUGGAGAUUUCGGUGAAAUUGUAAGAAUUUAAUCAUUAAAAUUUAGUUGAAAUUAAAUUUAAGUCAAAAUUUUAAAUUUAACAAAGCUCUAGGUCAAAUCAAAUUCAAGCUAAGAUUUAAUUCAAUAUUUUGAAUUUUAACAAAAAUUUAGGUAAAAGUGUGAUUUUAAGUAUGCUUUAGUUUCUGCUUAGAUCCAAUUCAAGCCAAGAUGUGGAUAUAACAGUAUAUUUUGGUAAAAAAUGAACUUUCUAAAGUAGAAUUUUGUUAAUGUGUAACAAUAGACAAACCAGCCUCCUACUGUAUAUAUCCCUACACUGGCCAGCAGAACUUCUACACACAUGGUAGUCAUUUAAAAGUUAUUUUGAUUAUAUUUGAAAUAAAAUUAUGAAAAAAAGUUUUUAAAAAAUUGUUAGAUAUAUAUGUGAAUGACUAGAUACAAAAUAUCCAGUGUGGAUUUUCCAAAAACAAAAUUUUUUGUUAGAAAGGAUAAACUUAACAAAUGGAUUUUUUUCAAUUCCAACUAACCAACUCUAUAUUAUAGAUGAUAGAGGAAGGAAACAUGUAUAUUUUUUUUUUUUUUUUUUUUUGGAAUGCAAGUUUAAAAUGUAUUUUCAAAAUUGACAUUUUGAUAUUUUUAAACAUUUAAUUGUAAUCAUUAACAUUUUAAUGGAAGAUUUGUGUAAAACAUUAUGAAUACCACAUUGCAGUCCAUCGUGGACAUUUAAAAAAAAUUAAUUGAUACUAAUUUUCCAAUUUUGCGGUAUUAUGUAAGUCCUGUCUAUUUGAGACCUUUUUCUAUGGUUUACCAUGUGUGUUGGGGCGCCCAGUGUUUGUUAGCAUGUAAUGCUUGUUAAUGUGCCUUAUAAACUAUGUGCUGUACUAUACUGCUUAUCAUAUGGGCUAUAUAGAGCCAAAACAACAAAUAAAUAGAACAAUAUUAUAUCUACGUUUUAUUUUAUCUUAGCACACGACGAAUC
This 1309-nucleotide long non-coding RNA is filed under the name Mytilus galloprovincialis (Mediterranean mussel). Lineage: Eukaryota; Metazoa; Mollusca; Bivalvia; Mytilida; Mytilidae. The record is from RNAcentral.